CAGCAGCCGCGGGAAUACGUAGGUGGCAAGCGUUGUCCGGAAUUAUUGGGCGUAAAGGGCUCGCAGGCGGUUUCUUAAGUCUGAUGUGAAAGCCCCCGGCUCAACCGGGGAGGGUCAUUGGAAACUGGGAAACUUGAGUGCAGAAGAGGAGAGUGGAAUUCCACGUGUAGCGGUGAAAUGCGUAGAGAUGUGGAGGAACACCAGUGGCGAAGGCGACUCUCUGGUCUGUAACCGACGCUGAGGAGCGAAAGCGUGGGGAGCGAACAGGAUUAGAUACCCCGGUAGUCCCUGUCUCUUAUAC
Molecule: ribosomal RNA, 301 nt
Filed under: uncultured bacterium
Lineage: Bacteria
Description: partial 16S ribosomal RNA
Rfam family: Bacterial small subunit ribosomal RNA
Source: RNAcentral